CUAUCAUUACAUAUUUAAUAACUGAGAUCCUCUAUGUGUCUUAAAGUUACAGAUGCUGGAUUAUUGUUUUAGGUGAAUAUUCAAUUUAGCUCAUUAGCUUUAUAAGAUCUAUUGAUCGUCAACUUAGUGCAUGCUUAUAAAUCUGCAACACAACUGCAUAAUGCAAUGGAAAAAGUUUGCCUGAAGCUUUAUGAAGUUCCCUUGAAUCUUAAGGUACAUGUCCUCAAUUUUCACGUACUCAUGCCCAACCAAAAGGGGAAAAAUGUGCAGCCAAAAAAAAACACCAUCAUGUUUUUAAAUUACAUGUUAUGCAUUCCCUUUUUCCCAUGCCCACUCCUUUCUGGACUAAAUUACUUUGUAAAACAGUAUUUUUCAUUAACAUAUAACCCUCACAGAUUUGGAAAUCAAAUUUACGGUUUAAGAGAUUGGUAUAGCAAGUAAUCAGAUUAUUUUCCAUUGCAUGUCUUUGGUUGGGAAUGUUGUGUUCUAUCCAAUCUCCAGCUCAAAGAAAAUUAUUACCUUUUCAAACUAUGCCCUGCAGUUAAAGCCUUUAUAACCUGAGUAUUAUCCCCUUUAUAUUGUUGUUUCAAGGCCUGACAGUGAUAUUGCACAUGUUGUCUGCUUUCUUGGUUUAUUCACUGUUGCAAAACUUCAUUAAAUCUGUAACCUUUCCUUCUAUACUUUCUUGACACCCUCUUAUGUCGACUCGAAUAAUUCAAAGCUAAUUAAUCCUAAUCUUAUUCUACGCAACAGUGGUAUCACAGCCAGGUUGCGUAGAUUAAACACGUUACACUGACCAAGCUAAUGAUGUCAAUGAUUGAUGCUCUGUUUCUCAUUAGCUGCAACACAAUGUGAAUAGCAAGAAUUAUUUCAUCCAACAAAAACCAUGAUGGAGACAAUAACAUAAACCUCACCAACACAGAGAACAAAACUGACCUGAAAAAGUGCGAGAACAUUAGCAAGACAUUUAAUCGAUCUCACAUUGAGAGUUUCGUUUACCUUUGCUCAUGUAAAACCCCACAAUCUCCUG
This 1030-nucleotide long non-coding RNA is filed under the name Phoenix dactylifera (date palm). Its description in RNAcentral is "long non-coding RNA (PDAC_LNC016104)". The record is from RNAcentral. Lineage: Eukaryota; Viridiplantae; Streptophyta; Magnoliopsida; Arecales; Arecaceae.